UGGAUCAGUAUGACAUGGUGCAUGUUCAUGGCACUUCGAGAGACAUAUUCUCAAGUGAAAAUUAACAGAACGAUUUCAGCAGACAUAAAACCUUCUCCUGAAUUUGCCCAAGGCCCGCAGAUGCUGCUGCUGAACGGAGGUGAUUUCCCUGCUUCAGAGACCAGAAGAUCCUUAUGUAGCAUCUGCUGAAAUAAAGUCCAGGAGGAAAGACGCUACCAAAGGAGGCAGAAACAAAGAUGAAGACAGAAAGAGCCAGUGUCUUUUUCCAUUUAACUAUAGGCACCUUCUACCACCGCAUCUGCUCCAUGGCUCCAACAUUUGAUGAGCUAAAUUGAUGAAUCUGUACUGUUAGGCUUAUUUAAAUAUUUUGAGGGUACACGUCUAAGGUGUGCUGCUGGAUUCAUCCUAUACCUGGAGCAUCAGAGGCAAUUCAGGAAAUCUUGCCAAGGAAACGGACCUCCAAGUCACCAUCCCAAAAGGAACCAGGUGGAGAAAAUAUUUCUGCCUUUUGCCUAGCAAGAAAGAUUUGAAGACAGGUUAGAAAAGCAUCUUUAAAUCACAUUGCAAAGGUGUUUUUUACCAAUGAAGAUGACGGUGAGUGCUCAGUGAGAUUAUCAGAUGCGAACAGGUAAUACAUUUCCAUCAGGAUCAAUAGGAGCUGGCAAGGCAACACUUUCAAGGAGUCUGCUAAGUAGAAGCGCCUUUUUCCAAGCUAGCCAUUAAAUGCUCAAGAAUCUAAAUCUCCCCGAAAAUCCCAUUCCUUAGGAGUUAAGUUGCUUUUCAAAAUGGCAUUUGGGACCCUAAAUCAUUUUUCAGAAUGCCUGUUUGGAAAAUGUUAUUGUAGAUCCUCGUAGAGGCUGCUUGUGACCACAAUACAUUGGGGAGGGGUUGUGAUAGCCAAGAGAAUUUGAUUAUCAAUUUGUUGAACAUGUUCUUAGGCAGAUCAAGCGCAAAGAGUAAUUUUAUUUAGCUUGAAGUAUCUGGUAAACAUAAAGAGAAAAAGGGCUCUGUAGUUGGACAGGUCUUAUCUCGGUAUCUUUAUUUACAUUUUCAAAGAACACUGACGCAAUCGAGCUACCAAAAGAACUGCUUUCCAUCAGCCUGGGAACAGAAACAAAUUAGACUUUAAUAGCGUUGUGUGAAAACUAUGGCAAAUGUUAUGUAAAACUGUGCAAACAGAAUGUUUGUGUUCUAGUUCCAGGUCAUUUAGUGGGCAAAAAGAGAGACAUUUUGUGUGAAAUAGCCAUGAAACGGUUUGCUAUUAUAUAAGGAUAGGAACUGCUAGAUCAAACUAAUGGUGACAUGCCAAGAAUCAGAUGCUUCAAAGCAAAAUGCAAGACAUCCCAGUGUGGAUAAUUAUGAAAUAGUCUGACCAUAGGGGAAAUUUCUGCAUAAAUGACUUUAGUCCUAAAAGGCUACAUGUUUAUAUUGCUUCUGAAAAGGUUUUAGUCUGAUUUCCCACAGACACAAGGCUUAUGCAACCAGUGUGCUGCCUGGCUGUGCAAAUCUCUGACUCCCUCCCUCCCUGUCUGCUUUCCUGCCUCCAGCAACCUCUGAACACGUCCAAUCCCUGCUACGUGGAGCAGAGGAGAGGAGGUCUCACAAAUAGUUAAGUUCCUACAGGUUUCAUGAAUAUAAGCUGCUCCCCA
Harpia harpyja (harpy eagle) is the source of this 1649-nucleotide long non-coding RNA. RefSeq lists it as uncharacterized. The record is from RefSeq and is a predicted model, not a curated record. Lineage: Eukaryota; Metazoa; Chordata; Aves; Accipitriformes; Accipitridae. The transcript has 3 exons.